CAGAGAAAGAAAGCCUUGGGAGCCAACCCCGCUAUGGAAGUGUGGUGAUUACACACUGUCGGCUGAGUUGUGUAUCCACUCCUUUGGGUAGAACUCCAGGUGUGUUUUUGGCCUACAGCUUUCUUGUGAGGCCAACAAAGUCUUGAAAUAUAUGGCCUAUAAAAUCAUUCUCAUUGGGAAAGAAUUACAGACAAGUCAUCAUCCUUUGAGGAUAAGUUCGAUUAAAAGGUUACUGAAUUUCUUCUGUGGUGUAUUUCAUAAAAGAGAAGAUGCUGAUAAGAUCCCGUUUAAAUGGCUUGCUAAUACCAGAAGCAGAUCAUUUAAAAUGGACCUUACAUCUUUAUAGGAUGUUAGAAAUGAAGACAUUACCUCAAAAUGUAGGUAAUUAUUGCCUCCUCUUUUAUCAGUGCUAUUUUCUGAGGUAUUAUCAUAAGAGAGCACUUUAGUAUUAAGCAGGGCCUUCGAGUGGCAAUAAAUCAGUCCAACUGAGUCA
Molecule: long non-coding RNA, 493 nt
Filed under: Ursus maritimus (polar bear)
Lineage: Eukaryota; Metazoa; Chordata; Mammalia; Carnivora; Ursidae
Description: lncRNA (ENSUMAG00000005425.1)
Source: RNAcentral